RNAcentral lists this ribosomal RNA (525 nucleotides) under Diopatra micrura. Its description in RNAcentral is "partial 16S ribosomal RNA". It matches the Rfam family "Bacterial large subunit ribosomal RNA", at positions 1797 to 2619 of the family's 2925-position model. Lineage: Eukaryota; Metazoa; Annelida; Polychaeta; Eunicida; Onuphidae. The record is from RNAcentral.
CGCCUGUUUAUCAAAAACAUAGCCUAUUUGUUUAACCCAUAAUAGGUAAAUCCUGCCCAGUGACAAGUUCAACGGCCGCGGUAUCCUAACCGUGCAAAGGUAGCAUAAUCAUUUGUCUCUUAAUUAGUGACUAGUAUGAAUGGACAAACGAGUAUCAAUCUGUCUCCUUUAUUAAAAUAUAAAUUAAUCUUCAGGUGAAGAAGCCUGAAUUAUAAUAAAAGACAAGAAGACCCUGUCGAGCUUGAUUUAAAAGUAAAUAAAUAAGUUUAUACAAAAUUUAGUUGGGGCGACUAAGGAAUACAUAAAACCUCCUUAACCUAUCAGAAUUCAAUUCAAAUAAAAGAUCCAAUUAAUGAUCAAAGAAAUUAGCUACCGCAGGGAUAACAGUCUAAUUCUUCUCAAGAGUUCAAAUCUAAAGAAGAGAUUGGCACCUCGAUGUUGGCUUAGGAAAUCUAUUAAACGCAACCGUUUAUAAAGAGGGUUUGUUCAACCCUUAAAAUCCUACGUGAUCUGAGUUCAGACCGG